UACGUAGGCAGCGAGCGUUGUUCGGAGUUACUGGGCGUAAAGGGUGUGUAGGCGGUUCUUUAAGUUUGGUGUGAAAUCUCCCGGCUUAACCGGGAGGGUGCGCCGAAUACUGAGGGACUAGAGUACGGGAGAGGAAAGUGGAAUUCCUGGUGUAGCGGUGAAAUGCGUAGAUAUUGGGAGGAACACCAGUGGCGAAGGCGGCUACCUGGACCGGUUCUGACGCUGAUGCGCGAAAGCGUGGGUAGCAAACAGG
RNAcentral lists this ribosomal RNA (253 nucleotides) under uncultured bacterium. RNAcentral describes it as "partial 16S ribosomal RNA". It matches the Rfam family "Bacterial small subunit ribosomal RNA", at positions 524 to 776 of the family's 1533-position model. The record is from RNAcentral.